This 440-nucleotide ribosomal RNA is filed under the name uncultured bacterium. RNAcentral describes it as "partial 16S ribosomal RNA". It matches the Rfam family "Bacterial small subunit ribosomal RNA", at positions 338 to 795 of the family's 1533-position model. The record is from RNAcentral.
CCUACGGGUGGCAGCAGUGGGGAAUAUUGCACAAUGGGGGAAACCCUGAUGCAGCGACGCCGCGUGAGUGAAGAAGUAAUUCGUUAUGUAAAGCUCUAUCAGCAGGGAAGAAAAUGACGGUACCUGAGUAAGAAGCCCCGGCUAACUACGUGCCAGCAGCCGCGGUAAUACGUAGGGGGCAAGCGUUAUCCGGAUUUACGUGGUGGAAAGGGAGCGUAGACGGCAGUGCAAGUCUGGAGUGAAAGGCGGGGGCUCAACCCCCGUACUGCUCUGGAAACUGUACGGCUGGAGUGCAGGAGAGGUAAGUGGAAUUCCUAGUGUAGCGGUGAAAUGCGUAGAUAUUAGGAGGAACACCAGUGGCGAAGGCGGCUUACUGGACUGUAACUGACGUUGAGGCUCGAAAGCGUGGGGAGCAAACAGGAUUAGAUACCCCGGUAGUC